GGUGCUUGAAGAGAGGUCUUCCAUGAUGCAUUCGCUUUAUUUUUCGACGAAUCAUACAUGGUUGACCUUUUUUUAAGUAUC
Equus caballus (horse) is the source of this 81-nucleotide non-coding RNA. NCBI's taxonomy places the organism in Eukaryota, Metazoa, Chordata, Mammalia, Perissodactyla, Equidae. The record is from Rfam.